UAACCCCUUCCACAGCGCCCCGACGAGGUCGCACUGAGGCGCUGUUUUUCCAUAUGUCAAUGUUUAUGAAUAGAUUACACCAAAAAAGACAAGAGUAGUCUUGAAAAACUCUACAUCAGUUUAAAGCUACAUACCCUAAGCACCCAUUGCAGCUAGUUGUUUUUCAGUGGAAAGCUUAUAAAGAAUACCUAUUGUUUACACUGUUUUACCAUGGUACUCACACAUUAAAACGCCAUUUUUGCAGAAAAAGGCAAGUUUAUGUCAUAGCUUAUAUUGUUAAAGAUAAAAGGUGACCAAAACUGAAUAAAAAGCCAAAGUUAUAGUUACAAACAAAUCUACACAACAAAUCUAAACAAAGCCGAGUGUUUUGGCCGUCUGCAUUUCUCAGUCACUGCUCCGUCAAAAGCUAACUUACUUCCUUCUUCCCAGAAGGUUGACUGACAGAGAAAC
RNAcentral lists this long non-coding RNA (450 nucleotides) under Danio rerio (zebrafish). RNAcentral describes it as "lncRNA si:dkey-70b24.7 (ENSDARG00000096119.2)". The record is from RNAcentral. Lineage: Eukaryota; Metazoa; Chordata; Actinopteri; Cypriniformes; Danionidae.